AGCCUUCCCUCUCCCAAGGGUUGACUCUUCCCGUAUUUAAAAGCAGAAGCCUUUUCCCAAUACCACCCUUGGCUUUAGCUCCAUGACUCGAAGUCCAACAUCAGCUGUCCUGUGCCAUGGUCCAGCUGCCUGCACUGUACACUACAGUGCCUGCAUGCACAUGUAAUGAUGCAACAGCAAGAGCUGCAAAAAUUCCAUGUGUGUAUACACAUGGCCUUUUUUUUUCAUUUGGUUAGGAAGCAGCUGCAGUUGCACGGAGGCUGUUCCUUAAAAGUGAAGAAUUUGAACACAAUUAAUAAUCCCUUGCCAGGGUGAUGCCCUUGGACAAACAAAAACUAAUCCAGACCGUGUUUCUGCCUUCUUGCAACUUUUAAUCUUCCAUGUAAGCUACUGGGAACGUUUCUAUGGUUACCUCCUAGAAUAUCAGUCUGCCAACAUCAGGUCAUUUCCAUCGUGGAACUUAAAUUCAAGCUGGUCUUUUAGCUGUGCUGAGCUUUAGUACUGAUUUUAGACUCCUGAAGAGCUGGAGGUGUACAACUUAGAGGCUCUGGAAAUCUCUGGAAUUGCUGUCAGGAAGCUGUGGCGUGAACUGAGGAUGGGGCUGAAGGAAGCAUCUGAAAGACCUUUGGCUGCUGGCAAAAGGGAGAAAAGCCAAAAAAUUAGCCUGCUGAGCACAAACAACGUCAACAGCUCCAGCAUCAUCAGGCACAGAAGGACAGACCCAGAAGAACCGCUCAGAGCUGCCAUGCCCCACACAUCACACACAUCCAUCUGUUCUCCUUGUGCCCCAGAGCAAAUCACUCAGCAUGGCAGGUAA
Molecule: long non-coding RNA, 817 nt
Filed under: Anser cygnoides (Swan goose)
Lineage: Eukaryota; Metazoa; Chordata; Aves; Anseriformes; Anatidae
Description: lncRNA (ENSACDG00005010953.1)
Source: RNAcentral